Molecule: ribosomal RNA, 459 nt
Filed under: uncultured bacterium
Lineage: Bacteria
Description: partial 16S ribosomal RNA
Rfam family: Bacterial small subunit ribosomal RNA
Source: RNAcentral
CCUACGGGAGGCAGCAGUGAGGAAUAUUGGUCAAUGGCCGAGAGGCUGAACCAGCCAAGUCGCGUGAGGGAAGACGGCCCUACGGGUUGUAAACCUCUUUUGUCGGGGAGCAAAGCGAGUCACGUGUGACUCAUUGAGAGUACCCGAAGAAAAAGCAUAGGCUAACUCCGCGCCGGCAUCCGCGGUAAUAAGGAGGAUGCGAGCGUUAUCCGGAUUUAUGGGGGUUAAAGGGUGCGCAGGCGUAGGUGCAAGUCAGCGGUGAAGUUGCGGGGCUCACCCCAGUACUGCAGUUGACACUGCAUCCCUUGAGUGCGCGAGAAGUAUGCGGAAUGCGAGGUGUAGCGGUGAAAUGCAUAGAUAGCACGCAGAACUCCGAUUGCGAAGGCAGCAUACCGGCGCACAACUGACGCUCAUGCACGAAAGCGUGGGUAUCGAACAGGAUUAGAUACCCCUGUAGUC